RNAcentral lists this ribosomal RNA (365 nucleotides) under uncultured Stenotrophomonas sp. RNAcentral's name for it is "bacterial SSU rRNA". It matches the Rfam family "Bacterial small subunit ribosomal RNA", at positions 86 to 451 of the family's 1533-position model. The record is from RNAcentral. Lineage: Bacteria; Pseudomonadati; Pseudomonadota; Gammaproteobacteria; Lysobacterales; Lysobacteraceae.
GGGUGGCGAGUGGCGGACGGGUGAGGAAUACAUCGGAAUCUACUUUGUCGUGGGGGAUAACGCAGGGAAACUUGCGCUAAUACCGCAUACGACCUACGGGUGAAAGCCGGGGACCUUCGGGCCUGGCGCGAUUGAAUGAGCCGAUGUCGGAUUAGAUAGUUGGGCGGGGUAAAGGCCCACCAAGGGAGACGAUCCGUAGUUGGUCUGAGAGGAUGAUCAGCCACACUGGAACUGAGACACGGUCCAGACUCCUAUGGGAGGCAGCAGUGGGGAUAUAUUGUACAAUGGGCGCAAGCCUGAUCCAGCCAUACCGCGUGGGUGAAGAAGGCCUUGGCGUUGUAAAGCCCUUUUGUUGGGAAAGAAAA